Molecule: ribosomal RNA, 322 nt
Filed under: uncultured eukaryote
Lineage: Eukaryota
Description: partial 18S ribosomal RNA
Rfam family: Eukaryotic small subunit ribosomal RNA
Source: RNAcentral
CCCUUAGAUGUUCUGGGCCGCACGCGCGCUACACUGAUGCAUUCAACGAGUUCUUCCUGGUCCGAGAGGAAUGGGUAACCUUUUGAAAGUGCAUCGUGCUAGGGAUAGACUAUUGCAAUUAUUGGUCUUCAACGAGGAAUUCCUAGUAGACGUAGUUCAUCAGACUGCAUCGAUUACGUCCCUGCCCUUUGUACACACCGCCCGUCGCUCCUACCGAUUGGAUGAUCCGGUGAGCUAUUCGGACCUACGCCUUGUCGAUUUUCGGCUUUGUGUGGGAAAGUCUCGCGAACCUUAUCAUCUAGAGGAAGGAGAAGUCGUAACA